Molecule: small nucleolar RNA, 134 nt
Filed under: Dasypus novemcinctus (nine-banded armadillo)
Lineage: Eukaryota; Metazoa; Chordata; Mammalia; Cingulata; Dasypodidae
Description: Small nucleolar RNA SNORA31 (ENSDNOG00000047298.1)
Source: RNAcentral
AUACAUCUCUGACAGACCAGGAGCAGUUAAUGCCUGCUGCUUAAGGUUUCCACUACAGAUGAAAGAAAAAGAAGGACCUCAUGCUCUCUGUCUGGCUGGUUCUGGCAGCCAAGAUUGAAUGGGAGAAUAUAGGA